UACGUAGGGUGCGAGCGUUGCCCGGAUUUAUUGGGCGGAAAGGGCGCGUAGGCGGCCUGGCGCGUCGGCUGUGAAAUCUCCCGGCUCAACUGGGGAGGGUCACGCGAUACUGCUCGACUUGAAGGCAGGAGAGGGAAGUGGAAUUCCCGGUGUAGUGGUGAAAUGCGUAGAUAUCGGGAGGAACACCAGUGGCGAAGGCGGCGCUCUGGGCCGGUACUGACACUGAGGAGCGAAAGCGUGGGUAGCAAACAGG
This 253-nucleotide ribosomal RNA is filed under the name uncultured bacterium. Its description in RNAcentral is "partial 16S ribosomal RNA". It matches the Rfam family "Bacterial small subunit ribosomal RNA", at positions 524 to 776 of the family's 1533-position model. The record is from RNAcentral.